GACGAACGCUGGCGGCGUGCUUAACACAUGCAAGUCGAACGGAAAGGCCCUGCUUUUGUGGGGUGCUCGAGUGGCGAACGGGUGAGUAACACGUGAGUAACCUGCCCUUGACUUUGGGAUAACUUCAGGAAACUGGGGCUAAUACCGGAUAGGAGCUCCUGCUGCAUGGUGGGGGUUGGAAAGUUUCGGCGGUUGGGGAUGGACUCGCGGCUUAUCAGCUUGUUGGUGGGGUAGUGGCUUACCAAGGCUUUGACGGGUAGCCGGCCUGAGAGGGUGACCGGCCACAUUGGGACUGAGAUACGGCCCAGACUCCUACGGGAGGCAGCAGUGGAGAAUAUUGCGCAAUGGGCGGAAGCAUGAUGCAGCAACGCCGCGUGCGGGAUAACGGCCUUCGGGUUUUAAACCGCUUUCGCCUGUGACGAAGCGUGAGUGACGGUAAUGGGUAAAGAAGCACCGGCUAACUACGUG
Molecule: ribosomal RNA, 468 nt
Filed under: uncultured bacterium
Lineage: Bacteria
Description: partial 16S ribosomal RNA
Rfam family: Bacterial small subunit ribosomal RNA
Source: RNAcentral